GAUGAACGCUAGCUACAGGCUUAACACAUGCAAGUCGAGGGACCGGCGCACGGGUGAGUAACACGUAUCCAACCUGCCCUUUACUCGGGGAUAUCCUUUCGAAAGAAAGAUUAAUACCCGAUGUAAAGGAUGGGGAUGCGUUCCAUUAGGUUGUUGGUGAGGUAACGGCUCACCAAGCCUUCGAUGGAUAGGGGUUCUGAGAGGAAGGUCCACCACAAUGGAACUGAGACACGGAACAAACUGCGACGGGAGGAAGGAGUGAGGAAUAGAGGGAAAGGAGCGUUAGACUGAACCAGCCAAGUAGCGGGAAGGAGGAAGGCUUAUGGGUCGUAAACUUCUUUUAUAUAAGAAUAUGUAUUAUAUGAAUAAGGAUCGGCUAACUCCGUGCCAGCAGCCGCGGUAAUAC
Molecule: ribosomal RNA, 406 nt
Filed under: uncultured bacterium
Lineage: Bacteria
Description: partial 16S ribosomal RNA
Rfam family: Bacterial small subunit ribosomal RNA
Source: RNAcentral